CCUGAGAAACCCUAAAGAUCGGAUGGGGAGUUUUAUCGUCAGCGGGGCUGGCUUCCGUGCAUGCGCGGCGUCGUCGGCGUGCACUUCUCCCAUAGUAGGACGUCGUGAACCGUUGGGUGUCGGAUCGAUGGCCGGUCGUCGUCUGUCGUGCUCUCGCGCUUCAGACCGUCCGGUUGAACGUCCGACUGUCUGGCGGUAUCGAUCGUUCAAAACUGGUACUGGGCUGCAAUCAGUGCGUUCCUGGCACGUCGGCAGGCUCGCCUCGCUCGGAUUUACAGACCUAGAGCCGUUGCCGGGCGCUUUGCCCGGCCGUUAGUCGGCGAUGUCCUCGGACUGGCUCUUACCGGUCGG
Molecule: ribosomal RNA, 351 nt
Filed under: Diglyphus albinervis
Lineage: Eukaryota; Metazoa; Arthropoda; Insecta; Hymenoptera; Eulophidae
Description: eukaryotic LSU rRNA
Source: RNAcentral